Molecule: long non-coding RNA, 763 nt
Organism: Scylla paramamosain (green mud crab)
Lineage: Eukaryota; Metazoa; Arthropoda; Malacostraca; Decapoda; Portunidae
Exons: 2
Source: RefSeq, a predicted model, not a curated record
GGCGGCAGUGCACGAGGUGCCCUGCAGUGUGAUGAGCGUCUCCUUCCCCUUGGCAUUGAGGGGGACCACUAGUCGGUGCAGCGUUGACCGAAAACUGCUCAGAAACUCCUCAGUAUUCUUCCCUCGCUGUUCCUAUGGAUAAGGCUCAUGUCAAUGCAUCAGCCAUAUGAAGUAAGGCAAAGGGAAAGCACAACAUAUCAUCCUAGAUACAGAUGACUCACCCGUAACCUGACAAGGUGCAGGAUCCGGGGCCUCUUUGUCACAGUUCCGACACAACACCGAAUAGUCGUAAGCGUCGCCGUGGCCCUCCACUUCGGUCGACCUGCAAGAAGACGGCACGCAUUCAAACCCCGCGAAUGAGUCAUGGUUCUAUGCAGCACAAAUAUUAUCUGAAAACCAUCAAAGUUGUAUUGAAUGUUAUCACUGAUGCACGUCAAGACUUAUGAAUUACUGAGAAUCAUCGGAAAAAAAAAGACAUUACUCGACUUGUCACACUUGACUCGUUUGAACACCGAUCAAAGAAAUUGUACCAUCCUUUUGACAGAUGGGCGCCAGAGACUGUAUAGGUGUUUGAAAGGCAACAACCCUUGGUCCAUGGAGGUUUCAUGCAUAAGUUAAGACACUCAGAUACUUGUAGAUGGGGAAGGGAAGGCCAUGAGAUGCAGUGAAUGUUUAUAGAUCAGCGCUACACGAAACCAGCAAUUACGAGACACUCAAAGACUUCUGCAGGCUAUUUUUUUUUUCUUUCUUUCUUCCUUCUUAG